RNAcentral lists this unclassified non-coding RNA (200 nucleotides) under uncultured Herpotrichiellaceae. Its description in RNAcentral is "sequence contains ITS2". The record is from RNAcentral. Lineage: Eukaryota; Fungi; Ascomycota; Eurotiomycetes; Chaetothyriales; Herpotrichiellaceae.
UCACCCCUCAAGUCUGACUUGGUGUUGGUGGAUUUUAGCACCUGGUUCGCCAUCUGCUCCACUGAAAGAUAAUGACCGGGUUGUGAUUCAACACUAGGUACAGUGAGCUGAUGUAUGUUGGCACGUACUUGAGUGGUGGUUACGGACCCGUCUGGAAGGGAGAGACCUGGUCUCGCCCUUCCACCCCCCUCAACUCUGAA